UACAGAGGGUGCUAGCGUUAAUCGGAAUUACUGGGCGUAAAGCGUGUGUAGGUGGUUAGAUAAGUUAGAUGUGAAAACCCUGGGCUUAACCUGGGAACUGCGUUUAAGACUGUUUAGCUAGAGUACUGUAGAGGGCAGUGGAAUUUCCAGUGUAGCGGUGAAAUGCGUAGAUAUUGGAAGGAACACCAGUGGCGAAGGCGACUGCCUGGAUAGAUACUGACACUGAGACACGAAAGCGUGGGGAGCAAACAGG
RNAcentral lists this ribosomal RNA (253 nucleotides) under uncultured bacterium. RNAcentral describes it as "partial 16S ribosomal RNA". It matches the Rfam family "Bacterial small subunit ribosomal RNA", at positions 524 to 776 of the family's 1533-position model. The record is from RNAcentral.